UUGAAAUUUUAUAUUUGAAAAGAAAGAAAAAUGAUUUAUUUUAAAUUUUAUUUAUAUAUAAUAUUUCUAAUUAAACAUAACAAUAAUAAUAACGGUAUCUGUAAAACGAUCAUAAAUCACGAUCGAUGUAUUUUUCCAUGUCUCCACAAAGUUAGGUUAAAAGCCAGUAUACUAAUUUCUAUCCUCUGGGCAAUUACAAGCGAUGAACUAUAGCACUACGUGAUUAAUGCACAUGUUAAACAAGAUCACAUUUUCCAAUAUUGACUAGAUGAUAUCUGGAAAACAUUCCAUCCCACGACAAAAUGAUUUUCGACAUUACGGUUUAAAUGUCUAGUUCGUAAAUAGAACAAUUCAUUUAAACAAUUAUAAUACAACAACAAGAAAGAAUAAAAAAUGUUGAAAAAGAUCUAUUCGCAACAGGGAAGCGAGUUACGAUCAACUGACUCAUGUCGUCGAAUUAAUCGGUAAACGAACGAUAAAAGGCUUAUCUAAAAUUGCGAAUGAAAUCAGAUUAACGAGCUCUGCGGGAGACAUUGCGAUCAAUCCGCAGUUAGAUUAAAUAGGCUAGACAUCCAUUACCGGCGCGUCACGAGAAAAGGGGUGAGAAACGAAAAGGAGAAUAGGAGACGAUCCGUCUCGACGGCUUUAAACAGAUAGGAAGUUCAAAACGGAUAUAUUUUGGGAGAAACUACGAAGACAUACGCAUUUCUAGGAAAAAAUAUAAGUCACUGAUGAUUCAAUAAUCUCUGCAUCGUCUUAAUCGCUAUGGAUAUUUUAAAUUCUUAUAUCUCGACAACUGAUUAAGAUAUCGAGAUGAAACAAAAAAAGACUUCAGUGGCCGUUUCUUCUAUUUUCUCAGAUGCGAUGCGAAUAGGAUAUCAUUAAUGGAUCAUCGAGGGUGUAUCGGACGUUCGCAAGAAGGACGACAACCGGGCGACAAACGGCCACGAUGGAUACGCGUGAGGACGCGAUUAAUCGAUGUUAAGUGCGUUAUAAUGAUGUCGCCGUCGGGCAAAUUCGAGUCUCGUAAAAUAGCUUGUCGGGAGACUCGUGGAUUCUCCACGCGUAUUCUGCCGAGGUCUCGACCAAUAAUUCAAUGACGAUUGAUCCGUGCGUGCCAUCGAUGCCGCCAGAAAAUCUAAUACGCCAGUCAAUCUUUCGCCUUUGGAGAUUGAUGAAUUGGGAUUUAUCUUUGAAUCCGAAUAUAUUAUCUCCAAGCCUAUUUACGGAAUUAUUCAGUAAUAAAAUUACUGAAAAAAACAAUAAUAAUUCGAGGUUUAAAAUAUGC
Apis laboriosa (Himalayan honeybee) is the source of this 1288-nucleotide long non-coding RNA. RefSeq lists it as uncharacterized. The record is from RefSeq and is a predicted model, not a curated record. Lineage: Eukaryota; Metazoa; Arthropoda; Insecta; Hymenoptera; Apidae. The transcript has 4 exons.